RNAcentral lists this ribosomal RNA (253 nucleotides) under uncultured bacterium. RNAcentral's name for it is "partial 16S ribosomal RNA". It matches the Rfam family "Bacterial small subunit ribosomal RNA", at positions 524 to 776 of the family's 1533-position model. The record is from RNAcentral.
GACAGAGGGUGCAAACGUUGCUCGGAAUUACUGGGCGUAAAGCGCGUGUAGGUGGAUUGGUGUGUCAGAUGUGAAAUCCCUGGGCUCAACCCAGGAACUGCACCUGAAACUACCAGUCUUGAGUGGUGGAGAGGGAAGUGGAAUUCCUGGUGUAGAGGUGAAAUGCGUAGAUAUCUGGAGGAACACCGGUGGCGAAGGCGACAUCCUGGACCGACACUGACACUGAGGAGCGAAAGCCAGGGGAGCAAACGGG